GAUGAACGCUGGCGGCGUGCUUAACACAUGCAAGUCGAACGAGAUUUAAUCGAUUUCUUCGGAUUGACUUUAAGUCGAGUGGCGGACGGGUGAGUAACGCGUGGGGAACCUGCCCCAUACCGGGGGAUAACAGUUGGAAACGGCUGCUAAUACCGCAUAUGCGCACGAAGAGGCAUCUCUUUGUGUGGAAAACUCCGGUGGUAUGGGAUGGACCCGCGUUGGAUUAGCCAGUUGGCAGGGUAACGGCCUACCAAAGCGACGAUCCAUAGCCGGCCUGAGAGGGCGAUCGGCCACAUUGGGACUGAGACACGGCCCAG
RNAcentral lists this ribosomal RNA (317 nucleotides) under uncultured bacterium. Its description in RNAcentral is "bacterial SSU rRNA". It matches the Rfam family "Bacterial small subunit ribosomal RNA", at positions 28 to 334 of the family's 1533-position model. The record is from RNAcentral.